UUUCUAAAAUAUUAUUUAUACUAUUGGAAUCGAUCUUUUUGGAUGUCUCAUAAUUUAACGUAAAUCCUUUUAUUUUACAAACAACUUUAUCCGUAUCAUAAUAUACAACCGCCUCUCCCAAUUUAUCUAACAUUUCAUAUAAUCUUAAUCUGGCGUUUGCUGUUGUAAAAGCAGCUAUGAAUUAUUGGUACUAAAAUCAUUUUCAACAUAAUAAUCUUUAUAUUUAUAGCUAAUUUGUAACAUUGUAUCGUUUAUAUCAUUUAACUGAAUUUUAUCAAGUCUAUCAUCUAAUAAAAUUUCGUAAAAUCUCUUAACAUCUGUAACAUAUUCUGUUGAUCCCAUAUUUUGUCUCUGACCAAAUUUACCCCAUAAGUUUACUAAACAAGAUUUUGCUACAGCUCUCUUACCAGGAUUGUUUUCUAUUUCACCUAAUUCUAUGCCUAGUUUUUCCUUUACCACUUUUCUAUAUUCAUCUUCCGUUUCAAAAUCAUCUUGCCAUGGGCUUGUCUCUAGUUUUAUUUUCAUAAAUGCCUUUACAUAUUCUUUAAAUAAAUCAUUUGAUUCUUCAUAAAAGUUCCAAYCUUCAUCAAUAUUUAUUAUUUUAUACCCUUUUUCUAUUGCUUUUUUUACCUCGUUUGAACACCAUGUUCCGCCCCCGAUUUUCAAGGGUAAGCAGAAAAGCAAAACAAUCAUGAGAACACCCCCGAUUUUAAGGUAUAUUUUAAAAUUAACAUUUUUAAGGAAAAGCACCCAGAUUUUCAAGGGUAAACUGAAAAGCAGAAAAACUCGUGAAAACACCGCGAUUUUAAGGUACAUUUUAAAAUUAACAUUUUUCAAAGAUUUUACUCUCUUGUAUUUGAAUUUACCGCCGUGAUUAAGUUGGUACUAGUUAUAUUGGUAAGCCUGAUUACCUUGGAGUUUUUGACUUCCUGCCAAUGCUCGUUCGUCGUUUAGUUCCAGCUUCCAGCAGUCUUCGUACACGUGCUCGCACAUGGUCUGCAAGUAAGAGUUGAAAUUGAAAAGAAAAUGAGUAAAAGAAGUAGUUUGCAACUCAACGAAAGCCCGGAAAUUCCACAUACAGUUACAGUUAGUAUAGCAAAUUCGCCCAACAAGAGAGUCAGGACAGAGACCACUGCUUUUAAAGAAAAAUUCGGGAAAGUGUCCCAGCUUGCUGAAAAAGAAAAAGUGGUAAUACUUGCUAACACCCUGUAUAAUAUGGAAACGUCAAUUCAAGCAGUUCAAGACUCAAUCAAUCGCCUUGAAAGUAACAUUCGCAAGAUAAUAAGGGAGGAAGUAACAAGUAUUGUAAAAAAUGAAAUUCAAAAUGGAUUUAAAAAUCUCAAAAUUGUUUAUGAGGAAAAUUAAUGUUCUGUUAACUUAUUGAUAUAUAAUAAUAAUGAUUUUUAUAACAAAUCUUCAGUUAGUUUCCAGUUGAUUUAUUAUUAAUUAACAACGAAAAGGAUUAGAAUCCAAAUGGUAUUGUAUCAAAGUCUUCUAAAAUAACUCUCUUGUCAUAAUUUUUCGUCAUUUACUUUAAAACACAUAGUAGAAAUACCGUUUUCAUUUAAAUUCAAAGUUAUUUUAUUAUCCAUUUAUAUAAAAAAUUAUUUAAGUUUAUUUAGUAUAUAAGAGAAAAUUAUUUUAUUCUUCAAUUAUUUCAAUGUCACAGUCAUUAUCUAAUUGUUUCGAUGACCGCCAGUGAAAUUUAGUUCUUUUUAGAUAUACAGUUUUAUUUAAAGAAAGUAACUUUUUAAUAUUAUUAAUUAAUUCAUCUGUUGUCGGAUCAUCUCUAUUUAUAUCUGUUACACAUAAACACAAACUCAAAAUAUCCAUAUGUUCAUAUGAAUCUAGAAAAAACGUUACUCCAUUGUAAUAUUCAGAUCUAGAUCUUUCAACACUGUUAAUUCUAUAUUCUCUAUUAAGAUCUAAAUCAUACAAUUCAACUUCCCACAUUUAUUAAAUAAAAAAUAGUUAUUUAAGCUUAUUUAGUAAAAUCAUAAUUUUAUCUAUAAUGCUACAUUUAAUUCCAAAAAUAGAUAAAUUAAAUUUAUACGAUUUUGUCGUUUGCAAAAAUUCAUGAUAUUCGUAGUAAUUAUUGUCUUUAAAGAAAUAAAUUUUUCCAUUAAUAUAUCUAAAAGCUUUGUCAACAUUAGAAGGAAUACUAGAAAACAAUUCAACUAUCAUACCAUGUUUCUUAGGUCUAAACAGACAUUCAUCAAAUUCUAUAAACAUUGUGUUGUCAUAAAAUAUAUAAGUUUGACCAGAAUAAGUACUAAAUAUUGCAUUAAUUUUCUUUCCACUAGGAACACCCAAACUUGUGAUAGAUCUUCCAUUAUAACCGUUUUUAACAACGAAACUAGGAAAACAAAAUAGUUCCAUCUGGUCUCUGAUAAAUAUGUGAUAUUUCUUGAAAAUUAUCUGGUAAAAAAGUUAAAUAAUCUGUAAUUAAUUUUGGUUUAUUAUCAUAGCUCAUGUCUUUUAAAUUAACAAUCCAGACAUAUUUCUUGUAGAAAAUAUAUAAUUUAUGAUUUGCUAUUAAAAAUGUGUUAAUAGUUUCACUUAAGCUGCAUAAAUCAGGUAAUGAAUCAGUCUUUCUAGGAGUCAAAGUAAUAGGUUUUUUAGUUGUGGUAGAUGUAGUAGUUGUGGUAGUUGUAGUUGGUAUUGAUUCAUAUUUUGACCGUUCAGAUAUUCCAUAUAACUAUUGAAUUGCCCAAAUAUCAUCUUGCGUUAAUUUAUCACCAUCUCCUUUUUAAUAAGCAUACAUAAUUGCUUUAUCAUUGGCAGAAUGUUCAAUACCUAAAGUAUGUCCAAUCUCAUGCAAUAAUACCGUAUAAAAAUUUGUUUGUCCGUCAGGGGUAUUACCUAGUUCUCCAAAAUACCAGUUUUCUGAUUUAUCAAAAUGAAUUCCUCGACAUUCAUCAUUAUUUGGAAAGAAUCCAUGUGCUAAAAUAUUAGCUUUCCCAUCGAAACUGUUAGAACAUACUCCUUUUUGACACCGGGAAUUAUGAUUAUGUUGAAACGGCAUAUUAGCAAAUGAAAUAAGUAUAUCUGGUUUAUUACUAUUAAACUCAAAUUUUAAUUUUGAAACCGAUUCCCAUUGAUCAAAUGCUUUUUGUGCUAAUUCUUUCAUUUCGUUUGUUGCUAACGAAAAAUACCAUUUAAGAUUUGUUUUAGACCAUUUGUUAGUGUGAACUCUAUAAGCAGUUGGAUUAUCUCUAACACCACAUCUAGGAGUAUUAAUCAAAGCAAGUGUUUCUUGAUUUAAUGUUCCAUCAGCAGCUAUUAAUGGUCCAUUAGUGUCUAGUCGCAGACCUGAGUCAGCUCCAGCUGACGCUAAAUACCCAAAUUUUUCUAAAUAAUUAUUAAUAUUAACAUCGCCUUCGGUUCUGGGCUGGCCGUGCCAGACAACAUAUGAACUUUUUACAGUAGUGAGAAAUAAGAAAAGAAUAAUAUAGUUCAUUUAUUAGAGUAAAUAUCAAAUUAAACAAUUGGAAUAUCUUAAAAAAUAAUUGUCUUAUUUAAUUAUUUACUAUGUGAAACACUUCAUGAGUCGAAGACGAAUUUAAUUUCCGUUUAAGCGGACUUUUUCUAGGUAUUUCUCUCUGGGAAAAUAAUUAAAAUUACUGACAAAUUCCUCUUCACGUAAAUUUAUUUAUUUUUCAUUUAUUUUAUCAGUCUUAUAUAAAUGCAAUAACUGUCUAUAAAAUUUAUAAAUUAACUUAUAUUCUUCAAUUCUUUCUGAUAUUUUUAAUCUCUUAUCUAAUAUUUCUAUUACCCCUGCACCAAGAGAUAAACAAACUAAUGGAGGUAGGGCUAACGAAGAUAAUCCCGAUGCACUAAAUAAUAAUUUACUAAUAGAUAAGCCGAUUCCAAUUUUAUAAAAAUAUAUGUAACUUUUUCUGUAUACAUACAAGCGUUUUUGUAGAUAUGUUUCCAUUUAUAACAAAUAGAUAAUAUAUAUAUUUUUUAAUUACGUUCAAAUAUUGAAAUAGUAGUUUUCUCAUUUAAACGACACGGUAUCUGUUUGAAAGAAUAUAAUAUAUCAUAAAAAUCUUUGCCUCUGUUGACAUUAAUUAUCAUAUAUAUACAGUCAUGACCACAUAAAACAGAAGAAUUCAUUUGUAACUGCGUGCUAUUCCACGCUAUAUUUUUACCGCUACUUAAUAAAUAUUUUUUAAUUUUUUCUGGUGGAGAUAUUCCAAAACUGUCAAAAUAUAAAAUAUUUCUUAAAUAUGGUUUGUUUAUGUAACAUACCCAGUGUGAGCCAUAACAAUUAGAGGGAUGAAAAUUAAUUAUACCUGAUUCAUCUUUUCUAAUUUUUUUUGGUAACAUGUCAAUUGCAAAAACGCCUCGAAAAUUUCGCGUAGCUUCAUGAGGCAAACCCGAAUUUUUCAUAAUAUCAGAUAUUUCUAUAUUACUUAACCCCGAUUUCCUAUCAAUUUUAUUCCUUGUCCAUAUGUCUUCGUCUUCGUCUUUGACUCUGAG
Tribolium madens (black flour beetle) is the source of this 4485-nucleotide long non-coding RNA. RefSeq lists it as uncharacterized. Lineage: Eukaryota; Metazoa; Arthropoda; Insecta; Coleoptera; Tenebrionidae. The record is from RefSeq and is a predicted model, not a curated record. The transcript has 4 exons.